UACGAAGGGGGCGAGCGUUAUUCGGAAUCACUGGGCGUAAAGCGUGCGUAGGCUGUUCUGCAAGUCAGGAGUGAAAGCCCAAGGCUCAACCUUGGAAGCGCUCUUGAAACUGCAGGACUUGAAUUUGGGAGAGGAUAGCGGAAUCGUCAGUGUAGCAGUGAAAUGCGUAGAUAUUGACAGGAACACCAGUGGCGCAAGCGGCUAUCUGGACCAACAUUGACGCUGAGGCACGAAAGCGUGGGGAUCAAACAGG
This 253-nucleotide ribosomal RNA is filed under the name uncultured bacterium. RNAcentral's name for it is "partial 16S ribosomal RNA". It matches the Rfam family "Bacterial small subunit ribosomal RNA", at positions 524 to 776 of the family's 1533-position model. The record is from RNAcentral.